UCUUGGUCAUUUAGAGGAAGUAAAAGUCGUAACAAGGUCUCCGUUGGUGAACCAGCGGAGGGAUCAUUAUCGAGUUAUUCAACUCCCAAACCCUAUGUGAACUUACCACUUGUUGCUUCGGCGCGCGCUUCGGCGCCGCCGAGGACACUUAAACUCUUUGUUUUUAUAAGCAUUUCUGAGUGGCCGAAAGGCAAAAAUACAAAUGAAUCAAAACUUUCAACAACGGAUCUCUUGGUUCUGGCAUCGAUGAAGAACGCAGCGAAAUGCGAUAAGUAAUGCGAAUUGCAGAAUUCAGUGAAUCAUCGAAUCUUUGAACGCACAUUGCGCCCGCCAGCAUUCUGGCGGGCAUGCCUGUUCGAGCGUCAUUUCAACCCUCGAGCCCGACUCUUUUGAGGACGGCUCGGCGUUGGGGGACGGCAGACUCCCCCCGGCAUCUCGCCGGGGACGCCGCCCCCGAAAUCUAGUGGCGGCCCUCCGAGGCGACCUCUGCGUAGUAACUUGUUCUCGCACCGGAAAGCUCAGAGCGGCCACGCCGUAAAACCCCAACUUUUUUCAGGUUGACCUCGAAUCAGGUA
Molecule: ribosomal RNA, 575 nt
Filed under: uncultured eukaryote
Lineage: Eukaryota
Description: eukaryotic LSU rRNA
Rfam family: 5.8S ribosomal RNA (bases 212-365)
Source: RNAcentral